Molecule: small nucleolar RNA, 126 nt
Organism: Manis pentadactyla (Chinese pangolin)
Lineage: Eukaryota; Metazoa; Chordata; Mammalia; Pholidota; Manidae
Product: small nucleolar RNA SNORA77
Exons: 1
Source: RefSeq, a predicted model, not a curated record
GCAGACUCACUCUGCGCCCAGCUGCAGCCCCAGCCGGGCGUUUUUUCCGUCUGCCACAGAAUCAUUCCAGGGUGCUGUGACCACCUUGCCGUGUCUAGGGUAAUGCAGCCACCUGGGGACACUGCU